Long non-coding RNA from Aethalodelphis obliquidens (Pacific white-sided dolphin), 632 nucleotides. RefSeq lists it as uncharacterized. The record is from RefSeq and is a predicted model, not a curated record. Lineage: Eukaryota; Metazoa; Chordata; Mammalia; Artiodactyla; Delphinidae. The transcript is spliced from 2 exons.
UGCUCCGCAACGGGAGAGGCCACAGCAGUGAGAGGCCUGCGUACCACAAAAAAAAAAAAAAAAAAGAGAAGGAGCUGCAGAAAGAGAAGGGGAAGCUGAAGCGUACACCCUGUGAGGAGCAGCAGAAGAAGGCUGAGCAGGUGGACCUGGGCAUGACUCUACUCCUCAGCAGAUGCAGCAGAGCCACCGGCUCCCAUGGUGGGCUGGUCUCCCGUCAGCAGCGGUCUUCCUGGGAGCAGACUCCCUGCCUGUCCACAGCUGAGUUAACGAGGCCCACGCUGUGCUCAUUGUCACCUCCAGGCCCAUGUUCACUUGCUGUCCUUCCUUUCCCAGGACUGUCCUCUCAGCCCAGGCCACGCCCCACUCACCUUUCCACUCCUCCAGGAAGCCUUCCUAACAGCCCAUCUUGUGGCACACACGAAUCCUUCCCUUUCUAAAUGUUCACUGUACCUCUUCUCUCUCUUUUGUUCUUUAGUGCGUAUCGCUCCAAAAUUAUGUCACAUAAAGGGCUAUUACGCUAAGUUAUAAGCCCAUCAAACUUACCACGUGAGUGGAAAAGGAAAUCAUUGAAUUUGUAUGUUUGGGACAAUAAGAGCUAUUCAUAAUAUAGAAGGUUAUUUGGAUGCUGUGAA